This 253-nucleotide ribosomal RNA is filed under the name uncultured bacterium. RNAcentral describes it as "partial 16S ribosomal RNA". It matches the Rfam family "Bacterial small subunit ribosomal RNA", at positions 524 to 776 of the family's 1533-position model. The record is from RNAcentral.
UACGGAGGGUGCGAGCGUUGUCCGGAAUCACUGGGCGUAAAGGGCGCGUAGGCGGCCUGAUAAGUCGGGGGUGAAAUUCUGCGGCUUAACCGCAGGACGGCCUUCGAGACUGUCGGGCUUGAGCACGGUAGAGGCAGGUGGAAUUCCCGGUGUAGCGGUGGAAUGCGUAGAGAUCGGGAAGAACACCGGAGGCGAAGGCGGCUUGCUGGGCUCGGUCUGACGCUGAGGCGCGAAAGCGUGGGGAGCGAACAGG